Sander lucioperca (pikeperch) is the source of this 69-nucleotide long non-coding RNA. RefSeq lists it as uncharacterized. The record is from RefSeq and is a predicted model, not a curated record. The transcript has 3 exons. NCBI's taxonomy places the organism in Eukaryota, Metazoa, Chordata, Actinopteri, Perciformes, Percidae.
UAGUCUUUAUAGUCAUUGUACAUGUACAACAAAAUUGAAUGCAGUCCUUUCAGUAAAAUAAUAAAUACA